This is a small nuclear RNA of Callithrix jacchus (white-tufted-ear marmoset), 103 nucleotides long. The record is from Ensembl. Lineage: Eukaryota; Metazoa; Chordata; Mammalia; Primates; Cebidae.
GUGCUCACUUUGGCAGCACGUCCACUAAAAUUGGAACGAGACGGAGAUUAGCAUUGUCCCUGUGUAAGGAUGACACGAAAGUUCUGAAGUGUUCAAUUAAAAA